RNAcentral lists this ribosomal RNA (510 nucleotides) under uncultured bacterium. Its description in RNAcentral is "partial 16S ribosomal RNA". It matches the Rfam family "Bacterial small subunit ribosomal RNA", at positions 28 to 507 of the family's 1533-position model. The record is from RNAcentral.
GACGAACGCUGGCGGCGUGCUUAACACAUGCAAGUCGAACGAAGAGCGAUGGAAGCUUGCUUCUAUCAAUCUUAGUGGCGAACGGGUGAGUAACGCGUAAUCAACCUGCCCUUCAGAGGGGGACAACAGUUGGAAACGACUGCUAAUACCGCAUACGAUCUAAUCUCGGCAUCGAGGAUAGAUGAAAGGUGGCCUCUACAUGUAAGCUAUCACUGAAGGAGGGGAUUGCGUCUGAUUAGCUAGUUGGAGGGGUAACGGCCCACCAAGGCGAUGAUCAGUAGCCGGUCUGAGAGGAUGAACGGCCACAUUGGGACUGAGACACGGCCCAGACUCCUACGGGAGGCAGCAGUGGGGAAUCUUCCGCGAUGGACGAAAGUCUGACGGAGCAACGCCGCGGGAGUGAUGACGGCCUUCGGGUUGUAAAGCUCGGUUAAUCGGGACGAAAGGCCUUCUUGCGAAUAGUGAGAAGGAUUGACGGUACCGGAAUAGAAAGCCACGGCUAACUACGUG